RNAcentral lists this unclassified non-coding RNA (203 nucleotides) under Hevea brasiliensis (rubber tree). Lineage: Eukaryota; Viridiplantae; Streptophyta; Magnoliopsida; Malpighiales; Euphorbiaceae. The record is from RNAcentral.
UGGAGAUGCAGUCGGCGAUGAUGGUAUAAAGCAGGCUCAUAGCUUUGAGAAAUACCAUCUAGACGUGAUAGACUCAGGAUGUGAAACAGAAGUUCAGGAGAAGGGCAUCGUCGGGACUAGCUAUGUUGAGAAUUCUGUCACGUAUGAUAAGUCUGAAGGACUCGCCUUUCGUAAGGCAAGCUCAGUUUUACUCAGCAAAGAGG